This is a non-coding RNA of Acanthosepion pharaonis, 109 nucleotides long. The record is from the annotation of a GenBank genome assembly. NCBI's taxonomy places the organism in Eukaryota, Metazoa, Mollusca, Cephalopoda, Sepiida, Sepiidae.
UAUGGCCAUGUCAUGUUGAAACACAGGUUUCCAUAUGAUCAAAGUUAAGCAACAUCAAGCCUGGUCAGUACCUAGAUGGGUGACAGCUUGGGAAUACCAGGUGCUGUAA